Molecule: ribosomal RNA, 429 nt
Filed under: bacterium
Lineage: Bacteria
Description: partial 16S ribosomal RNA
Rfam family: Bacterial small subunit ribosomal RNA
Source: RNAcentral
UAGGGAAUCUUCGGCAAUGGGGGCAACCCUGACCGAGCAACGCCGCGUGAGUGAAGAAGGUUUUCGGAUCGUAAAGCUCUGUUGUAAGAGAAGAACGUGUGUGUGAGUGGAAAGUUCACACAGUGACGGUAACUUACCAGAAAGGGACGGCUAACUACGUGCCAGCAGCCGCGGUAAUACGUAGGUCCCGAGCGUUGUCCGGAUUUAUUGGGCGUAAAGCGAGCGCAGGCGGUUUAAUAAGUCUGAAGUUAAAGGCGGUGGCUUAACCAUUGUUCGCUUUGGAAACUGUUAAACUUGAGUGCAGAAGGGGAGAGUGGAAUUCCAUGUGUAGCGGUGAAAUGCGUAGAUAUAUGGAGGAACACCGGUGGCGAAAGCGGCUCUCUGGUCUGUAACUGACGCUGAGGCUCGAAAGCGUGGGGAGCAAACAGG